UACGUAGGGUGCGAGCGUUAAUCGGAAUUACUGGGCGUAAAGCGUGCGCAGGCGGUGAUGUAAGACCGAUGUGAAAUCCCCGGGCUUAACCUGGGAACUGCAUUUGUGACUGCAUCGCUGGAGUGCGGCAGAGGGGGAUGGAAUUCCGCGUGUAGCAGUGAAAUGCGUAGAUAUGCGGAGGAACACCGAUGGCGGAAGGCAAUCCCCUGGGCCUGCACUGACGCUCAUGCACGAAAGCGUGGGGAGCAAACAGG
Molecule: ribosomal RNA, 254 nt
Filed under: uncultured bacterium
Lineage: Bacteria
Description: partial 16S ribosomal RNA
Rfam family: Bacterial small subunit ribosomal RNA
Source: RNAcentral